Non-coding RNA from Caenorhabditis elegans, 142 nucleotides. The record is from Ensembl. Lineage: Eukaryota; Metazoa; Nematoda; Chromadorea; Rhabditida; Rhabditidae.
UGCGCAGAGAGAACAAGAGAUAUUCAAGUUGAAGUUACUGGGCAAAAAACGAACUGUAGCGGUGCCUGGCACGACCCCUGACGAUACGCCACUGAAUUGCCAUACUCACACGUUUGCUUUCUCCGUUGUCGUCGUCGAUCGU